AACUAUUACUAUUUUGAAUGUUCUGGCUGUGGUUGAAGAAUACUCGAGAAUGAAUUAGAAAAAUGUCAAAAUAUCUAGUAGAAACUGCACUUUUGCCUUAACUAUUAACUUUUCAAGCUUUGGAAGUACCAGACCUUCCGGGCACUGUCGCCUCAAUGAAUAUCUGAAGACUUAGCAGAUUAUGCAGCCUGCAGAUAACGAUACCUCUA
This is a long non-coding RNA of Diorhabda carinulata, 209 nucleotides long. RefSeq lists it as uncharacterized. The transcript is spliced from 3 exons. The record is from RefSeq and is a predicted model, not a curated record. Lineage: Eukaryota; Metazoa; Arthropoda; Insecta; Coleoptera; Chrysomelidae.